RNAcentral lists this ribosomal RNA (429 nucleotides) under Verrucomicrobiota bacterium. RNAcentral describes it as "Verrucomicrobia bacterium partial 16S ribosomal RNA". It matches the Rfam family "Bacterial small subunit ribosomal RNA", at positions 355 to 776 of the family's 1533-position model. Lineage: Bacteria; Pseudomonadati; Verrucomicrobiota. The record is from RNAcentral.
UAGGGAAUCUUCCGCAAUGGACGAAAGUCUGACGGAGCAACGCCGCGUGAGUGAAGAAGGAUUUCGGUUCGUAAAACUCUGUUGUUAGGGAAGAAAAAAUGUAUAGUAACUAUAUACAAAAGAGACGGUACCUAACCAGAAAGCCACGGCUAACUACGUGCCAGCAGCCGCGGUAAUACGUAGGUGGCAAGCGUUGUCCGGAAUUAUUGGGCGUAAAGCGCGCGCAGGUGGUUUAGAAAGUCUGAUGUGAAAGCCCACGGCUCAACCGUGGAGGGUCAUUGGAAACUAAUAAACUUGAGUGCAGGGGAGAAAGGUGGAAUUCCUAGUGUAGCGGUGAAAUGCGUAGAGAUUAGGAGGAACACCGGUGGCGAAAGCGGCUUUUUGGCCUGCAACUGACACUGAGGCGCGAAAGCGUGGGGAGCAAACAGG